AUGGAUCCUAAGUUGGGAGAGGUCACAGAGGAGGAGGGGGAUGCCGUCGAUGUGAGGGCUGCAGUAGCGGAGCAGAGGAGGAGGAGGCGCAGGCGCAGGCAGAUGGCACGACGUGCUGCUGAGGAGGAACUGGAGGCAGAGUUCAACAGACGCCUUGCGCGCGAGAUGAUGGAUACUUACAACUCUAAUGAAUUGGAGCUUCUUUUGCCAGAGGGCAGGGGAAGGAACCAUAUUCAGAUCAUCAGUUGGGCUAGGGCGAGAGCAGCCACGGCUCCACAUCCAUCCAUCAGGGCCAAAUGGCGUCAUUUCUUUGAUCGUUAUGACUGA
RNAcentral lists this ribosomal RNA (327 nucleotides) under Triticum aestivum (bread wheat). RNAcentral describes it as "partial small subunit ribosomal RNA". The record is from RNAcentral. Lineage: Eukaryota; Viridiplantae; Streptophyta; Magnoliopsida; Poales; Poaceae.